UGUUUUGGUAACAUUAGUGGUCUGUUUAUGGUCUUUGUUUACACAUGUUGUUAUUGUAAAAUUAUAUUUCAACAUGAAAACACUUUACAGUUAUACACUUUACAGUUAUACACUUUACAGUUAUACACUUUACAGUUACACACUUUACAGUUAUACACUUUACAGUUAUACACUUUACAGUUAUACACUUUACAUUUAUACACUUUACAGUUAACACUCACACUUUACAGUUAUAUACUUUACAGUUAACACUCACACUUUACAGUUAUACACUUUACAGUUAUAUACUUUACAGUUAACACUCACACUUUACAGUUAUACACUUUACAUUUAUACACUUUACAGUUAUACACUUUACAGUUAUACACUUUACAGUUAACACUUUACAGUUAACACUUUACAGUUAUACACUUUACAGUUAUACACUUUACAUUAUACACUUUACAGUUAACACUUUACAGUCACAACACUUUACAGUUAUACACUUUACAGUCAACACUUUACAGUUAACACUUUACAGUUAUACACUUUACAAUCAACACUUUACAGUUAACACUUUACAGUCAACACUUUACAGUUAUAUACUUUACAGUUAUACACUUUACAGUCAACACUUUACAGUUAUAUACUUUACAGUUAUACACUUUACAGUUAUACACUUUACAGUCAACACUUUACAGUUAACACUUUACAGUUAUACACUUUACAGUCAACACUUUACAGUUAACACUUUACAGUCAACACUUUACAGUUAUAUACUUUACAGUUAUACACUUUACAGUUAUACACUUUACAGUCAACACUUUACAGUUAACACUUUACAGUCAACACUUUACAGUUAUAUACUUUACAGUUAUACACUUUACAGUCAACACUUUACAGUUAUACACUUUACAGUUAUACACUUUACAGUUAACACUCACACUUUACAGUGAUAUAUACUUUACAGUUAUACACUUUACAGUUAUACACUUUACAGUUCACAUUUUACAGUUAUACACUCACAAAUUACAUUCAUAUAUACUUUACAGUUAUACGCUUUACAGUUAACACUUUACAGUUAUACACUCACACUUUACAGUGAUAUAUACUUUACAGUUAUACACUUUACAGUUAUACACUUUACAGUUAUACACUUUACAGUUAUACACUUUACAGUCAACACUCACACUUUACAGUUCACACUCACACUUUACAGUUCACACUCAUAGUUAACACUCAAACAUCAAAACAUCAAUAUACACACAUAGUGCCACAUUAUAUUUGGCUAUGUUGUAUCAAGGUCACUAUAUUUUCCUAAUGUCCCUGGGCCUAUACAGCUGUAUAUGGGGCUACAUAUAGGGGCUAUACCCCAAACAUCUCAUCUGAACUAUUAACCAUCUCAGAGACAAGACGUUCCUCAUCUGUCUAAACUAUUAACCAUCUCAGAGACAAGACGUUCCUCAUCUGUCUGAACUAUUAACCCUCUCAGAGACAAGACGUUCCUCAUCUGUCUGAACUAUUAACCAUCUCAGAGACAAGACGUUCCUCAUCUGUCUGAACUAUUAACCCUCUCAGACACAAGACGUUCCUCAUCUGUCUGAACUAUUAACCCUCUCAGACACAAGACGUUCCUCAUCUGUCUGAACUCUUAAACCAUCUCAGAGACAAGACGUUCCUCAUCUAUCUGAACUAUUAACCAUCUCAGAGACAAGACGUUCCUCAUCUGUCUGAACUAUUAACCAUCUCAGAGACAAGACGUUCCUCAUCUGUCUGAACUAUUAACCAUCUCAGAGACAAGACGUUCCUCAUCUGUCUGAACUAUUAACCAUCUCAGAGACAAGACGUUCCUCAUCUGUCUGAACUAUUAACCCUCUCAGAGACAAGACGUUCCUCAUCUGUCUGAACUAUUAACCAUCUCAGAGACAAGACGUUCCUCAUCUGUCUGAACUAUUAACCAUCUCAGAGACAAGACGUUCCUCAUCUGUCUGAACUAUUAACCAUCUCAGAGACAAGACGUUCCUCAUCUGUCUGAACUAUUAACCAUCUCAGAGACAAGACGUUCCUCAUCUGUCUGAACUAUUAACCCUCUCAGACACAAGACGUUCCUCAUCUGUCUGAACUAUUAACCCUCUCAGAGACAAGACGUUCCUCAUCUGUCUGAACUAUUAACCAUCUCAGAGACAAGACGUUCCUCAUCUGUCUGAACUAUUAACCAUCUCAGAGACAAGACGUUCCUCAUCUGAACUAUUAAACCAUCUCAGAGACAAGACGUUCCUCAUCUGUCUGAACUAUUAACCCUCUCAGAGACAAGACGUUCCUCAUCUGUCUGAACUAUUAACCAUCUCAGAGACAAGACGUUCCUCAUCUGAACUAUUAACCAUCUCAGAGACAAGACGUUCCUCAUCUGAACUAUUAACCCUCUCAGAGACAAGACGUUCCUCAUCUGUCUGAACUAUUAACCAUCUCAGAGACAAGGCGUUCCUCGUCUGUCUGAACUAUUAACCAUCUCAGAGACAAGACGUUCCUCAUCUGUCUGAACUCUUAAACCAUCUCAGAGACAAGACGUUCCUCAUCUGUCUGAACUCUUAAACCAUCUCAGAGACAAGACGUUCCUCAUCUGUCUGAACUAUUAACCAUCUCAGAGACAAGACGUUCCUCAUCUGUCUGAACUAUUAACCAUCUCAGAGACAAGACGUUCCUCAUCUGUCUGAACGAUUAAACAUCUCAGAGACAAGACGUUCCUCAUCUGUCUGAACUAUUGACUAUCUCAGAGACAAGACGUUUCUCAUCUGUCUGAACUAUUAACCAUCUCAGAGACAAAGGCUGGGGAUCCCUGAUUAGAGGGGAAUCACCCACGUGCUGUCCCAGGUCUGAAUCAGGCCCUGAUUAUAGGGGAAUCACCCACUUGUUGUCCCAGGUCUAAAUCGGGCCCAGAUUAGAGGGGAAUCACCCAUGUCUUGUCCCAGGUCUGAAUCAGGCCCUGAUUAUAGGGGAAUCACCCACUUGUUGUCCCAGGUCUAAAUCAGGCCCAGUUUAGAGGGGAAUCACCCACGUGUUGUCCCAGGUCUAAAUCAGGCCCUGAUUAUAGGGGAAUCGCCCACGUGUUGUCCCAGGUCUAAAUCAGGCCCUGAUUAUAGGGGAAUCGCCCACGUGUUGUCCCAGGUCUAAAUCAGGCCCUGAUUAUAGGGGAACAAUGAUAAAAGCAGCAGAACUGCCUUCCCAGGGCCAGAGUUGAAUUUGAGGAUUACAGGGAAAAGGAUGCCAUUUGGAACACACCCAUAAUGUUUCUAAACCAUCUCUUCCUCUGGCUGCUUGCCUGGGGAGUCCAACAGCUUCUAACUGAGUCACACUAACUGGCUAUAAGGAUUAUUAUAAUAACUGGCUAGAACCAUGGAACCAGAGUUUUGAACUGGUUAGAACCAUAGAACCAUCGUUGAGAACUGGCUAGAACCAUGGAACCAUAGUUGAGAACUGGCUAGACCCCAUGGAACCAUAGUUGAGAACUGGUUAGAACUGGCUAGAACCAUGGAACCAUAGUUGAGAACUGGCUAGAACCAUGGAACCAUAGUUGAGAACUGGCUAGAACCAUGGAACCAUAGUUGAAACUGGCUAGAACCAUGGAACCAUCGUUGAGAACUGGUUAGUACUGGCUAGAACCAUGGAACCAUAGUUGAGAACUGGUUAGAACUGGCUAGAACCAUGGAACAAUAGUUGAGAACUGGCUAGAACCACGGAACCAUAGUUGAGAACUGGCUAGAACCAUGGAACCAUAGUUGAGAACUGGUUAGAACUGGCUAUAACCAUAGUUUAGAACUGGUUAAAACCAUAGAACCAUGCCUGUCUGUCUGUCUGUCUGUCCUAGAUUCUAAUACGCUACAGGGAUCUCUAUGCACCCUGACUAGAACACACAGCUGUGAUGCCAUUCGGAGGUUGACAUUAAUAAGGAUUCUAGAGGAAAACGUGAUGAUCUGAACCAUGUGUCUGUGAUGUAAUACACGUCUUUGUGAUGACGAAGAGCACAACUCUUUAUUGAUGAAACACUCUCCUGUCUGAAACCUCUUGCGUAGUCUAAUAUCGGGGCGCUGCUAUUGGCCCGUGAGCACAAAGGGGGAAAUCCGAUUGGUUGUGGCGGUGCUUUGCUUGGUUUUCUAUGUAACUCUGUUUCUUGGCAAAUUUAAUGAAACUGAUUUUUUUAUUCUUUUCAUAAUGUGGCAUUUGUAUUUCAACUUAAAGCCCAAUAAAACUUCACAGUGUAAAAUGUUC
Oncorhynchus keta (chum salmon) is the source of this 4245-nucleotide long non-coding RNA. RefSeq lists it as uncharacterized. The record is from RefSeq and is a predicted model, not a curated record. NCBI's taxonomy places the organism in Eukaryota, Metazoa, Chordata, Actinopteri, Salmoniformes, Salmonidae. The transcript has 5 exons.